RNAcentral lists this ribosomal RNA (253 nucleotides) under uncultured bacterium. Its description in RNAcentral is "partial 16S ribosomal RNA". It matches the Rfam family "Bacterial small subunit ribosomal RNA", at positions 524 to 776 of the family's 1533-position model. The record is from RNAcentral.
UACGGAGGGAGCUAGCGUUAUUCGGAAUUACUGGGCGUAAAGCGUACGUAGGCGGCUUUGCAAGUUAGAGGUGAAAGCCUGGAGCUCAACUCCAGAACUGCCUUUAAAACUGCAUCGCUUGAAUCCAGGAGAGGUGAGUGGAAUUCCGAGUGUAGAGGUGAAAUUCGUAGAUAUUCGGAAGAACACCAGUGGCGAAGGCGGCUCACUGGACUGGUAUUGACGCUGAGGUACGAAAGCGUGUGGAGCAAACAGG